GAUGAACGCUGGCGGCGUGCCUAAUACAUGCAAGUCGAGCGAACAGACGAGGAGCUUGCUCCUCUGACGUUAGCGGCGGACGGGUGAGUAACACGUGGAUAACCUACCUAUAAGACUGGGAUAACUUCGGGAAACCGGAGCUAAUACCGGAUAAUAUAUUGAACCGCAUGGUUCAAUAGUGAAAGACGGUUUUGCUGUCACUUAUAGAUGGAUCCGCGCCGCAUUAGCUAGUUGGUAAGGUAACGGCUUACCAAGGCGACGAUGCGUAGCCGACCUGAGAGGGUGAUCGGCCACACUGGAACUGAGACACGGUCCAGACUCCUACGGGAGGCAGCAGUAGGGAAUCUUCCGCAAUGGGCGAAAGCCUGACGGAGCAACGCCGCGUGAGUGAUGAAGGUCUUCGGAUCGUAAAACCCUGUUAUUAGGGAGGAACAAAUGUGUAAGUAACUAUGCACGUCUUGACGGUACCUAAUCAGAAAGCCACGGCUAACUACGUG
Molecule: ribosomal RNA, 497 nt
Filed under: uncultured bacterium
Lineage: Bacteria
Description: partial 16S ribosomal RNA
Rfam family: Bacterial small subunit ribosomal RNA
Source: RNAcentral